UUCAGUUUCUUAAUAUUAUUAUUUCCUUUCAUUGCUUCAGUGAUUUGCACCUUUGCACAUGUUGUCCGUCUUUAUUCCACUUAUUACUUAUGCUUUUACAUUAAUUGAAUCCUGUUAACUUUUUGCCUAUUUCUCUAAUUUAUGCCUUCUUUAUAAUCUCUACCUAUUUUUAUGGAAAUAAUAUUGAAAAUACCAAAUUCUAUUAUUACCAGAGAUAAAAUAUCAAAAAUGUCGUUCUCCGUAGUUAAGUUAUGAUUUGUUCGUUCUAACUUCACCUAUAUUUAUCUAUUCAAUGUGAUUUCUUUUUAGGCGAUCGGAUACAAUCUUCUAUUGGCAUGUCCGUGCUGCUUCAUUUGAAAACACAACGUAAUUACUUUGGAUUAUAUGUUAUAGUGAACUUUAGCGUUUGUCAAAAAAAAUACAACUUCAUAACAACACAAAAUUAACUUAAGCCUCACAUUUAAUCAGCGAACAACCUUGACCGAUCUUCCACUACAAAACUACAUCCUACAUUAUUUUUCUUUAUUUUUUUUAAUGUGGCUUCUGGUAAUGUCGUUGAUAGUGCAGCAAACAGAAUGGGCCAUUGUCAACUCACGUUCAUUCUUCACCUUUUCAAUAACUUGCUUUACCCCAUGUUGCCCCUUUCCAGCCAGACCAUACACAUAUGCUCGACCAAUUUGGAGGUAUAUUGUUUUGGAUUACAGAAAAGGGAAAAUCUAAUGAUUAACAAACUAGAAAAGUUUAGGUUGUUUUUCUGCUGCGUUUUGGAAGGAUUUAACUGCAUUUUUGGAUGAUUUUCAGAACUUACGGGGGCUGUUUUCAAUUUUUUAAUGCUGCCAUUUCACGAUUACGCUUAUUGCCAAAGAAAACAAUGGCUUAACAUCUUGAUGAAAAUACUAAAGCACCUGUUAAACAAAGCUAAACGCUCAACGUGUUUUGAGCCUCGCUUUAGGCCUUUAGCGCGCCUUUGAUAACUUUAGUCUUAUGGUGGUCUCUGUUUUUGGUUUGACACAUCCUACCCUAUCUGCCGCCCGAAAUUUAUGUACCACAGCUUAUAUAGAUACUUCUCUUUGGAUAUUAUGUAAUGUGUUUCUGCUUCUGUUUAUGAGAGCGUCUUAUUAUUUCUGAUUGAGCACAACUUCUGCGUCAUAAUAAACAAUUUGCUGCUACAUCUCCAUCUUCCACAUUUUGAAUUAUACUAUAAGAUGGCACACCAUCAAUAACUUCA
This is a long non-coding RNA of Nicotiana attenuata, 1228 nucleotides long. RefSeq lists it as uncharacterized. The transcript is spliced from 2 exons. The record is from RefSeq and is a predicted model, not a curated record. NCBI's taxonomy places the organism in Eukaryota, Viridiplantae, Streptophyta, Magnoliopsida, Solanales, Solanaceae.